UGAAUACGAGAUGCUACGGCGUCGAAGCAGUGUAUGUCAGACUUCCAAGAAAAGCUCGCAAUGUCAUAAAUAAAGAAUGCCUGUACCAUAACCGACACAGGUGGGUAGGUAGAGUAUACUAAGGGGCGCGAGAUAACUCUCUCUAAGGAACUCGGCAAAAUAACUCCGUAACUUCGGGAGAAGGAGUGCCUUCUUUAAGAAGGUUGCAAUAACAAGAUCCAAGCAACUGUUUAUCAAAAACACAGGUCUCCGCUAAGUCGUAAGACGAUGUAUGGGGGCUGACGCCUGCCCAGUGCCAGAAGGUUAAAGAAGUUGGUUAGCUUUCGCGAAGCUGAUGACUGAAGCCCUGGUGAACGGCGGCCGUAACAAUAACGGUCCUAAGGUAGCGAAAUUCCUUGUCGGGUAAGUUCCGACCCGCACGAAAGGCGUAAUGAUUUGGAUACUGUCUCGGAGAGGGACUCGGUGAAAUAGACUUGUCUGUGAAGAUGCGGACUACCUGCACCAGGACAGAAAGACCCUAUGAAGCUUUACUGUAACUUGAAAUUGAAAUUGGACUUUAUUUGCGCAGUAUAGGUGGAAGGCGUUGAAAGUAAUCUUGCGGGAUUAGUGGAGCCAUCAGUGAGAUACCACUCCUAUAAUGUUAGAUUUCUAACUUUGGAUCAUGAUCUGGUCAAAGAACAGUUUCAGGCGGGCAGUUUGACUGGGGCGGUCGCCUCCCAAAUGGUAACGGAGGCGUACAAAGGUUUCCUCUGAACGGGUAGAAAUCGUAUCUAGAGUGUAAAGGCAUAAGGAAGCUUGACUGUGAGAUCUACAAGUCGAGCAGGGACGAAAGUCGGUCUUAGUGAUCUGACGGUGCUGAGUGGAAAGGCCGUCACUCAACGGAUAAAAGUUACUCUAGGAUAACAGGCUGAUCUCCCCCAAGAGUUCACAUCGACGGGGAGGUUUGGCACCUCGAUGUCGGCUCAUCGCAUCCUGGGGCGGUAGUACGUCCCAAGGGUUGGGCUGUUCGCCCAUGAAAGCGGUACGCGAGCCGGGUUCAGAACGUCGUGAGACAGUUCGGUCCAUAUCCGGUGUAGGCGUUAGAAUAUUGAGAGGAGCCUUCUUUAGUACGAGAGGACCGAGAAGGACAUACCUCUGGUGUACCAGUUAUCGUGCCAACGGUAAACGCUGGGUAGCUAUGUAUGGAGAGGAUAACCGCUGAAAGCAUCUAAGUGGGAAGCCCACCUCAAGAUGAGUAUUCUCAC
Molecule: ribosomal RNA, 1244 nt
Filed under: metagenome
Description: bacterial LSU rRNA
Rfam family: Bacterial large subunit ribosomal RNA
Source: RNAcentral